Molecule: ribosomal RNA, 497 nt
Filed under: uncultured bacterium
Lineage: Bacteria
Description: partial 16S ribosomal RNA
Rfam family: Bacterial small subunit ribosomal RNA
Source: RNAcentral
GAUGAACGCUGGCGGCGUGCCUAAUACAUGCAAGUCGAGCGAACAGACGAGGAGCUUGCUCCUCUGACGUUAGCGGCGGACGGGUGAGUAACACGUGGAUCACCUACCUAUCAGACUGGGAUAACUUCGGGACACCGGCGCUAAUACCGGAUAAUAUAUUGAACCGCAUGGUUCAAUAGUGAAAGACGGUUUUGCUGUCACUAAUAGAUGGAUCCGCGCCGCAUUAGCUAGUUGGUACGGUAACGGCUUACCAAGGCAACUAUGCGUAGCCGACCUGCGAGGGUGAUCGGCCACACGGGAACGUAGACACGGUCCAGACGCCUACGGGAGGCAGCAGUAGGGAAUCUUCCGCAGUAGGCGAAAGCUUGACGGAGCAACGCCACGUGAGUUAUGAAGGUCUUCGGAGCGUAAAACUCUGUUAUUAGGGAAAAACAAAUUUGUAAGUAACUAUGCACGUCUUGACGGUACCUAAUCAGAAAGCCACGGCUAACUACGUG